UGGGGAAUAUUGCACAAUGGGGGAAACCCUGAUGCAGCGACGCCGCGUGAGCGAAGAAGGCUUUCGAAUCGUAAAGCUCUGUCCUAUGGGAAGAUAAUGACGGUAUCAUAGGAGGAAGCCCCGGCUAACUACGUGCCAGCAGCCGCGGUAAUACGUAGGGGGCAAGCGUUGUCCGGAAUCACUGGGCGGAAAGGGUUCGCAGGCGGAAAUGCAAGUCAGUUGUGGAAGGCAGAGGCUCAACCUCUGUAAGCAAUAGAAACUGUAUUGAUUGAGGUGUGGAGAGGCAAGUGGAAUUCCUAGUGUAGCGGUGAAAUGCGUAGAUAUUAGGAAGAAUACCGGGGGCGAAGGCGACUUGCUAGACACAAACUGACGCUGAGGAACGAAAGCGUGGGUAGCAAACAGG
This 403-nucleotide ribosomal RNA is filed under the name Fusobacteriota bacterium. RNAcentral's name for it is "Fusobacteria bacterium partial 16S ribosomal RNA". It matches the Rfam family "Bacterial small subunit ribosomal RNA", at positions 355 to 776 of the family's 1533-position model. Lineage: Bacteria; Fusobacteriati; Fusobacteriota. The record is from RNAcentral.